AUGGGAACGCGAAGAACCUUACCUAGACUUGACAUCUCCUGAAUAGUGUAGAGAUGCUUUGGUGCCUUCGGGAACUCUGAGACAGGUGCUGCAUGGCUGUCGUCAGCUCGUGUUGUGAAAUGUUGGGUUAAGUCCCGCAACGAGCGCAACCCUUAUCCUUUGUUGCCAGCGAUUCGGUCGGGAACUCAAAGGAGACUGCCAGUGAUAAACUGGAGGAAGGUGGGGAUGACGUCAAGUCAUCAUGGCCCUUACGAGUAGGGCUACACACGUGCUACAAUGGCAUAUACAAAGAGAAGCGACCUCGCGAGAGCAAGCGGACCUCAUAAAGUAUGUCGUAGUCCGGAUUGGAGUCUGCAACUCGACUCCAUGAAGUCGGAAUCGCUAGUAAUCGUAGAUCAGAAUGCUACGGUGAAUACGUUCCCGGGUCUUGUACAC
RNAcentral lists this ribosomal RNA (435 nucleotides) under uncultured bacterium. RNAcentral's name for it is "bacterial SSU rRNA". It matches the Rfam family "Bacterial small subunit ribosomal RNA", at positions 954 to 1388 of the family's 1533-position model. The record is from RNAcentral.